UACGUAGGGGGCAAGCGUUGUCCGGAUUUAUUGGGCGUAAAGAGCUCGUAGGCGGCUUGGCAAGUCGGGUGUGGAAACUUCAGGCUCAACCUGGAGAUUGCACUCGAUACUGCCAUGGCUAGAGUCCGGUAGGGGACCACGGAAUUCCUGGUGUAGCGGUGAAAUGCGCAGAUAUCUGGAGGAACACCGGUGGCGAAGGCGGCAUCCUGGACCGAUACUGACGCUGAGGAGCGAAAGCCAGGGGAGCAAACGGG
This 254-nucleotide ribosomal RNA is filed under the name uncultured bacterium. Its description in RNAcentral is "partial 16S ribosomal RNA". It matches the Rfam family "Bacterial small subunit ribosomal RNA", at positions 524 to 776 of the family's 1533-position model. The record is from RNAcentral.